CGCGCCGCCCGCUGCCGCGGCCGCCGGUCAUUGGAUCACUCGUGUCACGUGACCUUUUGCAGAAAUAUUCGUUCUGAACGCUUUCAGUAAGUUCGUCGCACACGAAGCGGAGUCAACGCGGACGGAGAACGUACAGUUUGCGGCUGGCGACAGCAUUUUGUUUCUGGCUAACGCAGGCGACAAAAGUUGCCGCAACAUUACGCCUGGUUGCUGCGUCUUCGCGUGUCGCAGCCAAACGGAGUCCGGAAAGGCAUUUUUUUUUUUCAUUCCGUGCGGGAAGGACGACCGGGAUUCACGUUCUGAGUGACUGCACAGGAUUGGCCGGAAAGGCUUCACGCCCUCGAACACCCGCUUGUGCGAGCAAACGUCAGCCGACCAAGUUGCCGACAGCUGAUAACCAGAAGAUUCAAGUGACGCACCACUAGGAAGAGGGAGCCAAGGAACACCUCACGAAGACUAGCAUGUCCCCUUGUCGAACCAUUGACUCUAGGCUGAGGCUUUCCUUGUUGUAAUAUUAAAAUAAACAGAGCCGUAGGGCUAGAUUGUUUUCAGUCUAAUGACUGUUAUUGAGUGAAAACUUGGUGUUACAAUAAAUACUUUCUUCAGUGCUGUA
Dermacentor andersoni is the source of this 613-nucleotide long non-coding RNA. RefSeq lists it as uncharacterized. NCBI's taxonomy places the organism in Eukaryota, Metazoa, Arthropoda, Arachnida, Ixodida, Ixodidae. The record is from RefSeq and is a predicted model, not a curated record.